This 5519-nucleotide long non-coding RNA is filed under the name Triticum aestivum (bread wheat). RNAcentral's name for it is "long non-coding RNA (TAES_LNC008703)". The stretch from base 1791 to 1895 matches the Rfam family "MIR1120/MIR1122 microRNA precursor family". The record is from RNAcentral. Lineage: Eukaryota; Viridiplantae; Streptophyta; Magnoliopsida; Poales; Poaceae.
ACCAGGAACGUAAGUUUAUAAUAGAUAUAGAAGUGACAAUACACAACAGGUUUUUCAAAAUUUACAAUGAACAACAUGAUUUGGCUUCUUGCUCUAAAAUAGAAACAAUCUGCAACACUAACUUGGUGACAAUCCCACCAAUUCAACAACGAUGUGGACAUGAUGUGGACAUAUCGCCAAUUCAACAACUCUACCCUUCACUCCUUUGUGGCUUCUAGAAUCAAAGGAGAACUACCAUCAUUGGAGGAAAGGGAAAAAAAUUAACAACAGUUCUUGCGGUUAAAGCAUCUGUCGAGUGAAGGUAUGCCGCUAUGAAUCCUUCUUUUAGUAACCAUCUGUACACAACAGCAGUAAUGCCAAGGCAAAAAACUUGAUCUCUGUUCAUGGCCAUCUCAUUAUUGAAAAAGUAAAUGUAAAACUGGCCUGCAAGAUAAAUGUACAUUCAGUUACUGGGAAUACCACUGGAUGAAAUAUAGUGCACACUCCAGAUCUUAUAACUUUUAAUACAUUUUCAACUAAGAUUUUAAGCCAUGAGAUUAUAUGCCAAUAGUUACAUUUAAGCUUGUUAAAGCAUAAAGCAAUCAUAAAAAGGCAGUAAGAAUAAGCUUCAGGACACAGUGAGGGCUGAAAAUACUUAUUUGAAAACAAUGAAACAACUCAUUAAAUUUAACUAAGUUUGAGAGUUCCAGUUUUAAGAAUUAAUACUGUACAACUAAGAGCAGGCUACAAAAUAGUCAGUCAAGAAGAUUCAACUGUAUACACUUGAUAAUUAGAGACAAUGUUUUUAACCAAAAUUUUUUGACCAACACUUGAACCACCCCGUUGACGUGAAAUAUAUAAUAUGGUCAGUCAAGCAUAUUAAAAUUAAUAUAUUAGAACUAAUAAAAGUGCAUUGAAAAGGCAACCAUAAAGCAAGAACAACCGAUGUCAAGAGCACUGACGAUCACAGUAAUGAGAAAAGGUAACACAUGGCAAGAACAAUGGACUGACCAGACCUUCUGAAAUCCCUGGAACUACACGAUAUCAGAUCCCUGACAACACACAUAAUACCUAAAAAGUAGCUGAUGCGAGAAUAAGUCCAAAAAUAGUUAUUUGUUUUCUAAACCCAAAGACAGUUGGGGAGACCUAGAGACAGAUAGUUUACGGGUCGGUGAAAGAGGCUGGUGACAAAAUUGAGACACCAUAAUACCUACGGAUAUGACAGACAUGAGAACCUACAUUAGCUUGGAAAAGGGGACUACAUAUCAUUGGACCCACCUCUGAAUAGAGAACCUACAUUUCAUAUCCAAUAACUGAAAUUUGUGCGAUACAUCCAUAAAGGAAUAUUAGAAGGACGGGCAGAAAUUGGUGGCUCGACAUAUUGUUUAAGCAAAUAAAUAGUCACUACUUUCUUGUGCGCAAUGGAGCACGUACAGAUUCAACAACUAAGCUUUAGUAAUGACCGCAUGGUUGAUGUGGGAGAAACAACAUAACUAUUGUAACACUGAGCUGUGAGCCUUGCAUGAUGUGCAGGUAGGCUAGCUUGAUGGUGGAAAAUCAGUGGCGAUAUGUCCACAUUGGUAUUGAAGAGCAUGACAGAUAUAGUCACUUUCAAAAGGAGACCACACGUGUUUGGAUUCAGCUUUGAAUAGGAGAGUUUAUUUGACACACCUCUCCUCAAUCAAAUGGUUCAGGUCUAAAAAUAUAUAAUGGUGAGCACAAGAGCAGAGUAGUCAUGGUUGAGCCUGUUUUGACUUUCUUUUCUUAUUCCACUUUGGAAAGGACAAAAGUGAACAAAAGCAGGCCUAAAACAUAUACUCCCUCCGUCCCAAAAUAAGUGUCUCAACCUUAGUACAACUUUACACUAAAGUUAGUACAAAGUUGAGACACUUAUUUUGGGACGGAGGGAGUACCAUUUAAUGCCUUCACAACAGUUUUUGCAUGGCCAGUUAACUCUGAAAGAAGUCUGUGAUAUUACACUUAAUAUGUAAAAGAGGCUCAAACACUAAAUUAAAUUCAAAAUAAAAGUAAUGCUCAUGCAGCAUAUUUUGUAUUUACAACAUCAGACAGUACCAUCAAACGCUAUAUAUUAGCUAGCUAAGUAGGAAUCUCUCAUUGGAUUGUGCCUCUAAAUAAUACCAUGGAGGCAGGAAACUAAGUAUUUUCAGUCAGGAAAACAAAGAUGCCUGCUUCCGCAACAUGAAUCGCAGAAUUUUCAUAUAAUUGUACUCACAAAGCUAUUUAAACAUAAAAGGAAACAGUAAUACCUUGUAUAUUUGUACAACCUAUCAAGAACAGAGUUGUGAAUUAAUCUCUUUGUAUUGAUGCCCUCAUCACCAAGCCCACUAUCACUGAUGCCUUCUCUUCCGGCACCAUAAGUAGUGUGGUCAUUGUAGAAAUAUGACCAGUUAUAUUCUACUUGUGUCUAUCUCUAUCUUGCGAUUCCACUGCUCACUGCCGUGGUUGCACUGCUCAUGUCGGGUUAGAGUUAUGGUGCCCUGCGAAACACGAGCAAAGUUUGAAUAAUCCAGUGGUUAUAUUCUACUUAAACUGGGACCAUUAUGCGUGAUAUUUUGAAUGAAUUGCUAUGAGAGAGAGCUGAACAAUUAUAUAGCAAAUUGGGUGUCGUAUUCAAUUGUAUCCAUGGAAAAUAUAUUACAAUCUCUAAACUACAGCAGUGUACAAUGAAGCGACAACCAACGAAGGAAGCAGAAGCGGGCGCUGACAGAGAUGACAAACCCAAGUCUGGGAACGAUGACAGUCGGAUAGAUAUCUCAUCUCUACUUCUGCUCAUCUCCCUUUAUUAAGACGCGACAACAUAUGUAUAUAUAUGAUGUGCACCCAACUCUGUCUUUAGCAUUGCCCGCUGCUGAACCUGCACAUGAAAAAACUGACAAAUGUUCUUAUUCUUGUUCUGCCUUAUGCAACAGGUCCGACGAACCUACAGCUUAGUAUGUAAGUUAAGAAAAAAAUAUGGGGAAUGAUGGGGAAAAAGGUUGCUGCUAACCUAGAAGGGACGCCGUGGCACCACCAACAAGAGAGGCUAUUUGUACAGCAACACAACUCGGUGUAGGAAUCAACAGCAGUCACCCAAACACUAAUCAUAUGGAACCUUAGAAUGCCUUACCACGGCGCCAUUCUGGCCAAUAGCAGCACCUAUUAUGAUGCCUUACCACCAUGCCGUUCAGGUCAACGCAUCACCUAAAAUAAGAAUGAAUGAAUGAUAACGCAUGAGAUAUCACGACAUUGUAAAUAAAGAUUCAGCUGGAUGAUAACGCAUGAGAUAUCACGGCCACGGCGGAACACAAAGAUUCAGCUGGAUACAAAAAUCUAAAAAAUGUAUCAGAAAGGAUUACAAUAGAACUCGUGGUUGAUCAGACAAAACUGGUACAUAUAGCUCCUAACUCAACUAAUCCGAAGUUCAAAAUAAUUCAUCUUUGCUUCUCAAACAGAGAUAAAGAUUGUAAUUACUACUGCCUGAAGCAUGUGAUCAGUAAGCAAUCUCGACUUCAACUUGAAGUUAGUCACUUGAAGAUAUAAACAACAGAUGUCAUAAAACACACAACAAUGUGUCAAUGAUUUUGCGGUUAUUUUUGGAACAAAAGGACAGUGCAUCUUAGGCAUUCCAUUUCCCAAAAAAACCAAAUUAACACUAGUGUCCUAAAAAUAUUAGGUAGUUAGAAUGGAACAUCAGGAACCAUGCUAUGCUCUACCAUGCAAGGAGGCUGAAAUGUGAAUAGGAGUAAGCAAGUGACGGAUUCAGUAAAAUUUUGACCAUUAGUAACUUCUACAGAAUGCAUCAUAUUUUGUAUGUAAUGUCGAAGUAUCCACAUCAAGAUCACAUGACAGGAAGUGGGAAUUGAAGUGGCCAACUGACCAAGCCCAGGUGAAAGAAAAUCUUGAAUCUGUACAUUCAUGCCUGAGACAAAGAACUGAUCAUUAGCACUGUAAUUCACACAAAGGUAGCUAUUUUAGUUUUCCUUAUAUAAAUCCAAGAAAUACCACUAAUAUAAUUUAUCAAACUGCGAAUAUCCACAAAUUGAGUUCCAUUGCCCUUCAGUGUUUAGCAGUUGCUUUUUAACAGGAUUGUAGAUAGCCUCAGCAAAUUGCAUAUCACUUCACUUACUUUCUAAGUGUCAAUGCAGAACUUUGUGUGACGCAACCCCUAACUUUUCCGACAUGCAACGCUCCCCAGGAACAUGGGAGGUCAAUGGGUUCGUGUGUGUUGAAAUAGACCUGGUCCCAGAGUACACGAUAUGGGAUAUUCUACCACAAAAUAUAAACCAAUACAAAAUCCAACUCAAAUGAAUGCUACACUGAAGAAAAUUUGAUACAGAGCCUGACUCAGAUGAACUCAAAACUGAAAACGAUUUGCCAGAUUCCACGCAUUGUCAAAAGUCUUCGACUACAGAAAAUACGUUUAUGCUGAGUAAAAAGCAUUGAAAGUUCAACCUUCUGUGUGACUCGACCCAUUAAACGAAUGCAAAUAUUUCUAGUGGCAUGGAAAUUUUGGUGUGUGUAUACCUAAUAGAAGGUCAGUGCUGCAGUGACUUGAGUAAUAACGAACUAAAAGGACGAGUCAAUUUUUAUAACCGAAAUACAGAUGUGCAAACAGGCAAACAGGUUGAUUGUAGCACUCGAAAUUUAAAUUCCAUUGAACCAUGCGAGAGUGGCGUGGGGAAUGACAGUCAGUUUAUCGAGAUCGAACGUGGAGGAGACUUCCAGCAAUCGUGGCUGCGCCGUCGCUGCUGCGCCUAGGGCAGUUCGGGAGGGGGGAGAUUGCCGUCAACGCUAUGGUUAACACGCAUCCAUGCCGGCGCUAUCAAGCUGCACCCUGCGAUCUCGCGUGCAACACGUAAUGAGAUCGUGUGGUUAGUAUCUCCGUUCGCUGUUGUAUACUGUAUGAUGUUGAUUUGCACAUUAUAAAAUUCCUUGAUUUAGAUGAAACAAGCAAAUCUGCAUGCUAUUUGUUUUUCUUUGAAUUACUACAGCCAUACUCGAAGAAGAGUCAGUUAUAGAACCUGAGCACUCACCCAAUCUCAGAUGCUGCUCAACACCCUCUGCUCCAACCCAUAGAACAUUCAGUCCUGCAGCAAAUGAACUGAAGAACCAAUCCCUGUCGCCAGCCUGCUCCCCAUCCUGCGCAGCUCCACCACAUAGCGACGGGAGCGCUGCUUCCUGCUCCAACCCAUACAAUGGCCGGUGACGCUAAUUGUGCUAAGGGCGAGAGGCGAUAAAUGAAGAUUUGGAGAGGAGGAAACUGAGAGAAUAGAGAUGGGGAAAGGGAACUCACCGUCUCAAGCUCGAGCUCGCCGACUGGCAGUCCUCUGCCUCGACCACCUCCAUCGGGUCUCUCUAUUUUUUGACCUUCCCCGUCUCGGCCUCGGGAUCGAGCUUCGACCUACCACCGCCAGAUCCGACCCCAUCAACUUCUGGUUCCUUGCCUCCCCAUGAAGUGUGCGCCGCCUGGAGCCUACCCCGUCGCUGCUCCUUCCCCGUGGAAACCCGUGGAGCCUACCCCGUCGCUGUUUAGAUAGAUG